RNAcentral lists this ribosomal RNA (567 nucleotides) under Nocardia cyriacigeorgica. Its description in RNAcentral is "partial 23S ribosomal RNA". It matches the Rfam family "Bacterial large subunit ribosomal RNA", at positions 296 to 823 of the family's 2925-position model. The record is from RNAcentral. Lineage: Bacteria; Bacillati; Actinomycetota; Actinomycetes; Mycobacteriales; Nocardiaceae.
UUGUGGGAUUGCUCUUCUCAGUUCUGCCGAGCUGGGCGUGAGUCAGAAACCGUUGUGUUAGCUGAAUUGGUCUGGGACGGCCAACCGUAGACGGUGAGAGUCCGGUAAGCGAAAACUCAACGGCUCAUGUGAGCAACACCCGAGUAGCAGCGGGCCCGUGAAAUCUGCUGUGAAUCUGCCGGGACCACCCGGUAAGCCUGAAUACUCCCUGGUGACCGAUAGCGGACUAGUACCGUGAGGGAAAGGUGAAAAGUACCCCGGGAGGGGAGUGAAAUAGUACCUGAAACCGUGCGCUUACAAUCCGUCAGAGCCUUCGAGCAGCUUGCUGCUGGGGGUGAUGGCGUGCCUUUUGAAGAAUGAGCCUGCGAGUUAGUGGCAUGUGGCGAGGUUAACCCGUGGUGGGGUAGCCGUAGCGAAAGCGAGUCCGAAUAGGGCGGUUUGAGUCGCAUGUUCUAGACCCGAAGCGGAGUGAUCUACCCAUGGCCAGGGUGAAGCGACGGUAAGACGUCGUGGAGGCCCGAACCCACUUAGGUUGAAAACUGAGGGGAUGAGCUGUGGGUAGGGGUG